Molecule: ribosomal RNA, 261 nt
Filed under: uncultured bacterium
Lineage: Bacteria
Description: partial 16S ribosomal RNA
Rfam family: Bacterial small subunit ribosomal RNA
Source: RNAcentral
AUUAACGCUAGCGGCAGGCAUAAUACAUGCAAGUUGAACGGCAGCACAGGUAGCAAUACCGGGUGGCGAGUGGCGCACGGGUGCGUAACACGUAUGCAACCUACCCUAUACAGGCGAAUAACCUUUAGAAAUGAGGGCUAAUACGCCGUGGUAUUAUCUUGGGGCAUCUUGAGAUAAUUAAAGAUUUAUCGGUAUAGGAUGGGCAUGCGUCCCAUUAGUUAGUUGGUAGGGUAACGGCCUACCAAGGCGAUGAUGGGUAGG